RNAcentral lists this long non-coding RNA (368 nucleotides) under Carica papaya (papaya). Its description in RNAcentral is "long non-coding RNA (CPAP_LNC009432)". The record is from RNAcentral. Lineage: Eukaryota; Viridiplantae; Streptophyta; Magnoliopsida; Brassicales; Caricaceae.
GUCAGCAUUGUGGUCAUUUGUAUGCUGAACUACCAUGUUGGCCUAUCAAUAACGCUUGCUAUCAAUGUAGAAGCAUCCAAUACCUUAUAAAGGAAUACCCUCAGUGACCGAAGGAUGUGGCCAGACUUGUAGUCCAAGAUCGUGUGUGCCACCUAAAUGAACCUGGUGCCCUCCCCACUCUUGUCCUUAUUCAGGGUAUGCUUUAUAUCCAUGAUACUUUUGCCAAAGCUUUGAUUGAUACAGGUGCUACCCACUCUUUUAUCCCUUAUACAUUUGCUUGUAAAUUAGAUAUUAGAUCUGAACCUUUAAAGAAAAUAUUAGCUGUAGAGACUCCCUCUAGGAGAUUAUUAAAAGCUCACUAUGUGUAC